RNAcentral lists this ribosomal RNA (253 nucleotides) under uncultured bacterium. RNAcentral's name for it is "partial 16S ribosomal RNA". It matches the Rfam family "Bacterial small subunit ribosomal RNA", at positions 524 to 776 of the family's 1533-position model. The record is from RNAcentral.
UACGUAGGUGACCAGCGUUGUCCGGAUUUACUGGGCGUAAAGAGCGCGCAGGCGGUCGUUCAAGUCGAGUGUGAAAGCCCCCGGCUCAACUGGGGAGGGUCACUUGAUACUGAUCGACUCGAAGGCAGGAGAGGGAAGCGGAAUUCCCGGUGUAGUGGUGAAAUGCGUAGAUAUCGGGAGGAACACCGGUGGCGAAGGCGGCGUCCUGGACCAACACUGACACUGAUGAGCGAAAGCCAGGGGAGCAAACGGG